This 75-nucleotide unclassified non-coding RNA is filed under the name Caballeronia arationis. The record is from RNAcentral. Lineage: Bacteria; Pseudomonadati; Pseudomonadota; Betaproteobacteria; Burkholderiales; Burkholderiaceae.
AGGAGCCGUAUGCGUUAGGAGCGCACGUACGGAUCUGCGGAGGGGGUGAUAGGCGACUGUCAUUCCUACUCCAAC